GCGAAAGAGCGGAUGAUCGUCGGCGACAACGAGAUGUGUGCUGGUAGCGAUGGUCAUUUAUUCCGCAUGCAAUAGCUGAUUAGACCCAACAACGAUAUUGAAUUCGAGUGUUUACCGUGCCGUUCAGUCAUGCAACCGGGGAACAAAAACAACAAGCUCACGGUCGCUGAUCGCAAUGAUUGUGCACUGCACGGUGUCCCCUUCUGCCCAUUUUGCUGGCC
Molecule: unclassified non-coding RNA, 221 nt
Filed under: Hevea brasiliensis (rubber tree)
Lineage: Eukaryota; Viridiplantae; Streptophyta; Magnoliopsida; Malpighiales; Euphorbiaceae
Source: RNAcentral